UUCUGAUUCUUACAGCUGAAGUAAACAAUUUAUUCUGAUUCUUAUUCUCUAUUCCGAUUUCAGCCCAUUCUGAUUCCACUCUAUUCCGAUUUUAGCUUAUUUUGGUUACUGAUUAGUAAACACACUAUAAAUAUACAAGCUAUCUGGAACAAUUACAAAGAGAAAGUCAAAAGAAAAUAAAUGAAGGAGAUGUUUAAACAGAUUUUGUGGGUAGUAGUUAUCUAGUGGAUUGGUAGUUAUUAUCAUUAUGUCCAUUUCAUCACUGCAUUCCAAAAGUCAUCAUUCAAUUUUGCAUGUGUUCCAUAAUUAUCAUGCUUGUAUGCUAUGUCUGCAAGAGGACUAUUGUGCUGAAUUAAACACUCAAUAUCCAUGCAAUUCAAGCAAAGGUUACUACGGCCAGGGACCAAUUCAACUAUCUUAGAAUUUCAACUACGGACCUGACAGAAACAUCAUUAGCUUCGACGAAUUAAACGCGCCAGCAACUGUUGCCAAUUAUCCAAUUAUAGCAUUCAAGAUUGCUUUAAGGUUCUGGACAAACAAUGUUCAUUUGGGGCAACCAUUCGGGCCAUUAACGAUGAACUUGAAUGUGAUGGUGGAAACCCUAGCAUUGUUCAGUCUCGCAUUAGGUACUUCUCUCAGUACUACAACCAAUUGAGAGUUUCUACUGGAGAUAAUCUCACUUGUUAAGAUCAUCAUAGAAACUGUAGUGACAAAAAAAAAAAAAGAAUUAUCAAGUCAUCAAUAAUAGAUGAUUUAUAUAAAUAAUAAAUCUAUUAGUUGCAAUUCUAUAACUUUACAAAUAAUAUCUGCAUAACAGAAUUAUCAAGUCAUCAAUAAUAGAUGAUCAAAAAAAAAAAAAGAAUUAUCAAGUCAUCAAUAAUAGAUGAUUUAUAUAAAUAAUAAAUCUAUUAGUUGCAAUUCUAUAACUUUACAAAUAAUAUCUGCAUAACUAGAAGGUUGUAGAAGAAUUAUAAAUAAUGCACAACCCUGUUCUGAACCUUUUAGAAUAAUAAAACAUAAAAAUUGUCUUUAAUCCCAUUGGAUAUUUGUUUAGAUCAAUCAGUUUUGCAUGUUUGCUUUGCAAGUUAGCGUGUUUGUUCAGCAUACGUGUUUAGGUUAUUAAAAAAAGAAAAGAAAAGAAAAAAGAAAUCUCGAAGGACCAUUUUAUGGGGAGACAGAAGAAGAAGGCAUUGUUCAGAGUCUGUACAAUUUGAAUAUUUCAAACAGAAAUUUAGCAUGAACAAACUUCAACUUCUUGAGGAGGAAAGAACAGCAAGAUUUAGAAGAAAUAUGACAUAAGACACCAAAGAAACAGGACUUCGCCAUCAUUAUCAAGACUUUGAAGGAUUAAUUUCUACAUCAAGAUAUCACAAGUCAUGUUGAAAUUUUAUAGAGACUAUAAAAUUUGUUUGGAAGCUAGGA
This 1422-nucleotide long non-coding RNA is filed under the name Citrus sinensis (sweet orange). RNAcentral's name for it is "long non-coding RNA (CSIN_LNC002233)". Lineage: Eukaryota; Viridiplantae; Streptophyta; Magnoliopsida; Sapindales; Rutaceae. The record is from RNAcentral.